GAGUUUGAUUCUGGCUCAGAUUGAACGCUGGCGGCAUGCUUUACACAUGCAAGUCGGACGGCAGCACAGAGAAGCUUGCUUCUUGGGUGGCGAGUGGCGAACGGGUGAGUAAUAUAUUGGAACGUACCGAGUAAUGGGGGAUAACUUGCCGAAAGGUAAGCUAAUACCGCAUACGCUCUGAGGAGGAAAGCAGGGGACCUUCGGGCCUUGCGUUAUUCGAGCGGCCAAUAUCUGAUUAGCUAGUUGGUGGGGUAAAGGCCUACCAAGGCGACGAUCAGUAGCGGGUCUGAGAGGAUGAUCCGCCACACUGGGACUGAGACACGGCCCAGACUCCUACGGGAGGCAGCAGUGGGGAAUUUUGGACAAUGGGCGCAAGCCUGAUCCAGCCAUGCCGCGUGUCUGAAGAAGGCCUUCGGGUUGUAAAGGACUUUUGUCAGGGAAGAAAAGGUUGUGGCUAAUAUCCAUGACUGANGACGUACCUGAAGAAUAAGCCCCG
RNAcentral lists this ribosomal RNA (496 nucleotides) under Neisseria weaveri. Its description in RNAcentral is "bacterial SSU rRNA". It matches the Rfam family "Bacterial small subunit ribosomal RNA", at positions 9 to 495 of the family's 1533-position model. Lineage: Bacteria; Pseudomonadati; Pseudomonadota; Betaproteobacteria; Neisseriales; Neisseriaceae. The record is from RNAcentral.